UACGUAGGGUGCAAGCGUUAUCCGGAUUCACUGGGUUUAAAGGGUGCGUAGGCGGUCAUGUAAGUCAGUGGUGAAAUCUCCAAGCUUAACUUGGAAACUGCCGUUGAUACUAUCUGUCUUGAAUAUUGUGGAGGUGAGCGGAAUAUGUCAUGUAGCGGUGAAAUGCUUAGAUAUGACAUAGAACACCAAUUGCGAAGGCAGCUCACUAAACAAUCAUUGACGCUGAGGCACGAAAGCGUGGGGAGCAAACAGG
RNAcentral lists this ribosomal RNA (253 nucleotides) under uncultured bacterium. RNAcentral describes it as "partial 16S ribosomal RNA". It matches the Rfam family "Bacterial small subunit ribosomal RNA", at positions 524 to 776 of the family's 1533-position model. The record is from RNAcentral.